UUAAGCGACUAAGCGUACACGGUGGAUGCCCUGGCAGUCAGAGGCGAUGAAGGACGUGCUAAUCUGCGAAAAGCGUCGGUAAGGUGAUAUGAACCGUUAUAACCGGCGAUGUCCGAAUGGGGAAACCCAGUGUGAUUCGUCACACUAUCGUUAACUGAAUACAUAGGUUAACGAGGCGAACCGGGGGAACUGAAACAUCUAAGUACCCCGAGGAAAAGAAAUCAACCGAGAUUCCCCCAGUAGCGGCGAGCGAACGGGGAGCAGCCCAGAGUCUGAAUCAGCUUGUGUGUUAGUGGAACGGUCUGGAAAGUCCGACGGUACAGGGUGAUAGUCCCGUACACCAAAAUGCACAGGCUGUGAACUCGAAGAGUAGGGCGGGACACGUGGUAUCCUGUCUGAAUAUGGGGGGACCAUCCUCCAAGGCUAAAUACUCCUGACUGACCGAUAGUGAACCAGUACCGUGAGGGAAAGGCGAAAAGAACCCCGGCGAGGGGAGUGAAAAAGAACCUGAAACCGUGUACGUACAAGCAGUGGGAGCACCUUCGGGUGUGACUGCGUACCUUUUGUAUAAUGGGUCAGCGACUUAUAUUCUGUAGCAAGGUUAACCGUAUAGGGGAGCCGCAGGGAAACCGAGUCUUAACUGGGCGUUAAGUUGCAGGGUAUAGACCCGAAACCCGGUGAUCUAGCCAUGGGCAGGUUGAAGGUUGGGUAACACUAACUGGAGGACCGAACCGACUAAUGUUGAAAAAUUAGCGGAUGACUUGUGGCUGGGGGUGAAAGGCCAAUCAAACCGGGAGAUAGCUGGUUCUCCCCGAAAGCUAUUUAGGUAGCGCCUCGUGAACUCAUCUUCGGGGGUAGAGCACUGUUUCGGCUAGGGGGUCAUCCCGACUUACCAACCCGAUGCAAACUACGAAUACCGAAGAAUGUUAUCACGGGAGACACACGGCGGGUGCUAACGUCCGUCGUGAAGAGGGAAACAACCCAGACCGCCAGCUAAGGUCCCAAAGUCAUGGUUAAGUGGGAAACGAUGUGGGAAGGCACAGACAGCCAGGAUGUUGGCUUAGAAGCAGCCAUCAUUUAAAGAAAGCGUAAUAGCUCACUGGUCGAGUCGGCCUGCGCGGAAGAUGUAACGGGGCUAAACCAUGCACCGAAGCUGCGGCAGCGACACUAUGUGUUGUUGGGUAGGGGAGCGUUCUGUAAGCCUGCGAAGGUGACCUGUGAGGGUUGCUGGAGGUAUCAGAAGUGCGAAUGCUGACAUAAGUAACGAUAAAGCGGGUGAAAAGCCCGCUCGCCGGAAGACCAAGGGUUCCUGUCCAACGUUAAUCGGGGCAGGGUGAGUCGACCCCUAAGGCGAGGCCGAAAGGCGUAGUCGAUGGGAAACAGGUUAAUAUUCCUGUACUUGGUGUUACUGCGAAGGGGGGACGGAGAAGGCUAUGUUAGCCGGGCGACGGUUGUCCCGGUUUAAGCAUGUAGGCUGAUUGUCCAGGCAAAUCCGGAUAAUCAAGGCUGAGGUGUGAUGACGAGGCACUACGGUGCUGAAGUAACAAAUGCCCUGCUUCCAGGAAAAGCCUCUAAGCAUCAGGUAACAUUAAAUCGUACCCCAAACCGACACAGGUGGUCAGGUAGAGAAUACCAAGGCGCUUGAGAGAACUCGGGUGAAGGAACUAGGCAAAAUGGUGCCGUAACUUCGGGAGAAGGCACGCUGGUGUGUAGGUGAAGUCCCUGCGGAUGGAGCUGAGACCAGUCGAAGAUACCAGCUGGCUGCAACUGUUUAUUAAAAACACAGCACUGUGCAAACACGAAAGUGGACGUAUACGGUGUGACGCCUGCCCGGUGCCGGAAGGUUAAUUGAUGGGGUUAUCCGUAAGGAGAAGCUCUUGAUCGAAGCCCCGGUAAACGGCGGCCGUAACUAUAACGGUCCUAAGGUAGCGAAAUUCCUUGUCGGGUAAGUUCCGACCUGCACGAAUGGCGUAAUGAUGGCCAGGCUGUCUCCACCCGAGACUCAGUGAAAUUGAACUCGCUGUGAAGAUGCAGUGUACCCGCGGCAAGACGGAAAGACCCCGUGAACCUUUACUAUAGCUUGACACUGAACAUUGAGCCUUGAUGUGUAGGAUAGGUGGGAGGCUUUGAAGCGUGGACGCCAGUCUGCGUGGAGCCAACCUUGAAAUACCACCCUUUAAUGUUUGAUGUUCUAACGUUGGCCCCUGACCGGGGUUGCGGACAGUGUCUGGUGGGUAGUUUGACUGGGGCGGUCUCCUCCCAAAGCGUAACGGAGGAGCACGAAGGUUAGCUAAUCCUGGUCGGACAUCAGGAGGUUAGUGCAAUGGCAUAAGCUAGCUUGACUGCGAGCGUGACGGCGCGAGCAGGUGCGAAAGCAGGUCAUAGUGAUCCGGUGGUUCUGAAUGGAAGGGCCAUCGCUCAACGGAUAAAAGGUACUCCGGGGAUAACAGGCUGAUACCGCCCAAGAGUUCAUAUCGACGGCGGUGUUUGGCACCUCGAUGUCGGCUCAUCACAUCCUGGGGCUGAAGUAGGUCCCAAGGGUAUGGCUGUUCGCCAUUUAAAGUGGUACGCGAGCUGGGUUUAGAACGUCGUGAGACAGUUCGGUCCCUAUCUGCCGUGGGCGCUGGAGAAUUGAGGGGGGCUGCUCCUAGUACGAGAGGACCGGAGUGGACGCAUCACUGGUGUUCGGGUUGUCAUGCCAAUGGCACUGCCCGGUAGCUAAAUGCGGAAGAGAUAAGUGCUGAAAGCAUCUAAGCACGAAACUUGCCCCGAGAUGAGUUCUCCCUGAGACUUUAAGUCUCCUGAAGGAACGUUGAAGACGACGACGUUGAUAGGCCGGGUGUGUAAGCGCAGCGAUGCGUUGAGCUAACCGGUACUAAUGAACCGUGAGGCUUAACCUU
Molecule: ribosomal RNA, 2900 nt
Filed under: Klebsiella pneumoniae
Lineage: Bacteria; Pseudomonadati; Pseudomonadota; Gammaproteobacteria; Enterobacterales; Enterobacteriaceae
Description: bacterial LSU rRNA
Rfam family: Bacterial large subunit ribosomal RNA
Source: RNAcentral